RNAcentral lists this ribosomal RNA (164 nucleotides) under uncultured bacterium. RNAcentral's name for it is "partial 16S ribosomal RNA". It matches the Rfam family "Bacterial small subunit ribosomal RNA", at positions 349 to 509 of the family's 1533-position model. The record is from RNAcentral.
CAGCAGUGAGGAAUAUUGGUCAAUGGGCGGGAGCCUGAACCAGCCAAGUCGCGUGAGGGAAGACGGUCCUAUGGAUUGUAAACCUCUUUUGUCGGGGAGCAAAGAGGCCACGUGUGGUCAAAAGCGAGAGUACCCGAAGAAAAAGCAUCGGCUAACUCCGUGCC